Molecule: long non-coding RNA, 1231 nt
Filed under: Brassica rapa (field mustard)
Lineage: Eukaryota; Viridiplantae; Streptophyta; Magnoliopsida; Brassicales; Brassicaceae
Description: long non-coding RNA (BRAP_LNC005401)
Source: RNAcentral
AAUUUAUUGGUAGAUGCAUGUUUCUCUAAACCUAAAGCAGAAAUACUCUAAAAUACUUGAUUCAAAACGUUUCAUAUUAAUAUGUCUUGAUUAGUACGUAAAAUAUGAAAACAUUAAAAUGUGGAUAGAAAAGUAGAAAUGGUUGAAUCAUUUGAUAUGAUAUCCACGUACGGCGAGACAACAAUUAACAGUUGUGCAUUUAUUUAUGUCUCUAUCUACAUCUAUCAGACAUACCGAAUUUUGGCACUGUUAUUUAGUUAAGAGUUCAGCUAUGCGUACGCAUCUUGGUAACCUAAUAAUUUAUGUCGUGUACAUUGACUUUACUUCCCAGCGGACCAAUACGGUGACUUUAAUUCAUAAUUUCAUGCAUAAACAGUUGAUUCAUUUUUCUGUGUCCCUAUUAAAAAAUAUCACAACGAAUGUGAACAACGGUAUCUAAUCAAUUAGUGAUUACAGCUUAAACAGGUGGUUAAGCCACCUAAUCAGCUGUGCCACUAGGGUCAUGUUCGUUACACCAACUAGAUAAUGGAGAUAAGAUUGUUGUUUGUUUAGAUUUUAAAUUACAAGUCAUCUGAAUAACUCAUUUGGAUGAACUUAAUACAUUUAGGUUUAAUUUUUAAAAUCAGCCACCUGAACCAAAUUGAACCAUUUCGAUAGAGAUGAUUCAAUCAAAAAAUUAUAAUGUAUAUUAUACACAUGAUAUAAUUCAAAAAUUACCAACCUAAAUCUAAUAUCAUUUUUUCACUCAUAAAAACUGACAAAAUCACAAAAACGCAUUUUAUCACCAAAACCACAAAACACAUGUUUCUGCAAAAACCGUAAAAACGCAUUUUUCACCAAAACCGCAAAAAAAAAAAAAAACACUUUUCCUGCCAACACGCAAAAAUGCAUUUUUCUGCAAAAACCGCAAAGACACACUUUUCCACUAAAACGAAUUUAACCGCAAAAACUGCUAAAACACAUUUUGCUGUGAAAACCGCAAAAAUCAUUAUCCCGCCAAAAUCGCAAAAAUGUAUUUACCAUCAAAACCGCAAAAUACAUUUUUCGCCAAAAUCACAAAAUCGCACUUUCCCACCAAAAGCGCAAAAACAUGUUUUAACCCUAAAACCACAAACCACAUUUUUCCAACAAAACCACAAAAUUCGUUAAACUCGCAAAAUCAAAUUUCUCGAAUUAAAUCUUUAAUGGGUAUUUUUUUGUUAAAAUAUCAAAAUUAUAUUUCCCGCUAAAA